Molecule: long non-coding RNA, 1072 nt
Filed under: Anolis carolinensis (green anole)
Lineage: Eukaryota; Metazoa; Chordata; Lepidosauria; Squamata; Anolidae
Description: lncRNA (ENSACAG00000035980.1)
Source: RNAcentral
ACUGCCAGAUAAUCCAAGAUAAACAGAAAACCUGGAAUCAAAUACUGGGAUAUAGGGCCUGUCUGGAAGGGCCCGAAGUUAACUCUUCCAGGUUCAAGAUGUUUUUAUUUAUCCAAGGCUUACCUACCUUGGGUGUUUCAUUUCACAUAGGCAUAUGGUUGCAUUUUAAAUAAAUAAAUGAAAUUUGCUGAAACAUGUUGAACUGUUAUUUUUUAUGAUGUAGGAACCUAUCGCUAUUCUUUACAUGUUAUUUCUGCCUCAGGAACCAAAUUUUCUGUUAAAGAAGCAAUGUGUAGGAGGGCAUCUAGUUUGUUUAACUGAGAUAUAUCUGUAAUUUAACCAAUUCUAUUUGUGUACCUCUGAAAAAAAAAGAAUGAAGGAAGGAACCUUUAAAAAAUAACUAUCAGUACAAUAUCGGGAAUCAAAUAUUUCUACCUGCCAAUUGUUUCCCAGAGACACUGGUUGCUCUCAUCCGUAGCCACAAAGACAAAGUGAAAUUUGGGCCAGCAAUGCAAAGCUAUCGAAUCGUAGUAGGUAUCUCUGCAGUCAAUGGCCAGGUCCUCCUCUUCAAAUAACUCUAGCAAGAAAAGGGAAAGUCAGUUAGAAGAAGGAAAUGAAGAUUGAUGGGGCAUCAGGUAACUGGGCAACUGGAUAUGCAUAUAUCAACUUUGGUUUACUUAGAAUGGCCCACCAUUUUGAGGCAAUGCCUCAUUGCUACAGUUCUUUUUCACAGAAAGACUGGGAUAUCCAGACACAAAACACUGAGCUGGCUAUAAUAUCCAUGUUGUUAAUAUUCUAAACCUAAACAUAGGCAAAUACUUAUAGUAACUGUGAUUGUUGUACCACAAUAGACUUGUUGUUGUAUAAGUUUAUCGUGGUACAACAAUCACAGUUACUAUAAGUAUUUGCCUAUGUUUAGAAUAUUAACAACAUGGAAAGGCCUUGAAGGGAAGCAGGACUAAGCAAGUAAUUAAGAUUAAGGGAGACAGCAACAUAUCCACAACAUACCGUAGUCAACUAUGAGAAGUUUCUGAGAAUCACAGUAAGUAGGCUGUAACCAUACAUCAAAAGA